This 360-nucleotide ribosomal RNA is filed under the name Triticum aestivum (bread wheat). RNAcentral's name for it is "partial small subunit ribosomal RNA". Lineage: Eukaryota; Viridiplantae; Streptophyta; Magnoliopsida; Poales; Poaceae. The record is from RNAcentral.
AUGAAGCCAGUCCAACUCCCAAAGACCCUGAGAAUCACGGCGGCGAGGGCCAGCCCCAACCAGAGUGUGCGUGCGACGGUCCUGGACAAAACAAGAGUCAACGUCAAGGAUGACGCGACAACCAAAAUCAGUAAGUUGACCGGCAGAAAACAGAUUCAUGGUAAGUCGAGGAACAUGAGCAACAUCAGGAACAUAAUAAGGAGUGGUAAGGUUGCCUCUACUAGCAACAGAAAGUGGAGUACCAUCAGCAGUGAAGACAUGAACAGGAGAAUCCAGCGAUCGAAGAGAGGACAAGGUGGAAGAAUGAUAAGACAUAUGAAAAGAAGCUCCAGAGUCCAGAACCCAUGGGGAUGUACCUGA